Molecule: ribosomal RNA, 253 nt
Filed under: uncultured bacterium
Lineage: Bacteria
Description: partial 16S ribosomal RNA
Rfam family: Bacterial small subunit ribosomal RNA
Source: RNAcentral
UACAGAGGUCCCAAGCGUUGUUCGGAUUCACUGGGCGUAAAGCGCGCGCAGGCGGUCCUUUAAGUCUGAUGUGAAAGCCCACGGCUCAACCGUGGAGGGUCAUUGGAAACUGGGGGACUUGAGUGCAGAAGAGGAAAGCGGAAUUCCACGUGUAGCGGUGAAAUGCGUAGAGAUGUGGAGGAACACCAGUGGCGAAGGCGGCUUUCUGGUCUGUAACUGACGCUGAGGCGCGAAAGCGUGGGGAGCAAACAGG